CACGCCCUAAACCGAAUGCGCGUUAGGUGUAUCGGUGACCACGAGUCACCGAGGUGCCGAAGGGAAACCGUGAAACGUGCCGCCUGGGAAGUACGGUCGCAAGGCUGAAACUUAAAGGAAUUGGCGGGGGAGGCACCACAACGGGUGGAGCCUGCGGUUUAAUUGGACUCAACGCCGGGAAGCUCACCGGAUAAGACAGCGGAAUGAUUGCCGGGUUGAAGACCCUGCAUGACCAGCUGAGAGGAGGUGCAUGGCGUAGUCGUGU
Molecule: ribosomal RNA, 265 nt
Filed under: uncultured archaeon
Lineage: Archaea
Description: partial 16S ribosomal RNA
Rfam family: Archaeal small subunit ribosomal RNA
Source: RNAcentral